Molecule: ribosomal RNA, 253 nt
Filed under: uncultured bacterium
Lineage: Bacteria
Description: partial 16S ribosomal RNA
Rfam family: Bacterial small subunit ribosomal RNA
Source: RNAcentral
UACGAAGGGGGCUAGCGUUGCUCGGAAUCACUGGGCGUAAAGCGCACGUAGGCGGCUCUUUAAGUCAGAGGUGAAAUCCUGGAGCUCAACUCCAGAACUGCCUUCGAUACUGGAAGACUCGAGUCCGGGAGAGGUGAGUGGAACUGCGAGUGUAGAGGUGAAAUUCGUAGAUAUUCGCAAGAACACCAGUGGCGAAGGCGGCUCACUGGCCCGGUACUGACGCUGAGGUGCGAAAGCGUGGGGAGCAAACAGG